Molecule: long non-coding RNA, 5739 nt
Filed under: Equus caballus (horse)
Lineage: Eukaryota; Metazoa; Chordata; Mammalia; Perissodactyla; Equidae
Description: lncRNA (ENSECAG00000048904.1)
Source: RNAcentral
CCAGCCUCUUGGGUCAUGUAGUGACUCUCAAUAGGUGAUGGGGGGUGGGGAAGACAGCUUCGGAAGCCCACCUGGCAAAAAAUCCACACUGGGGGCGAGAGAUAAACCGGCACAUUCCCCAGACUGACCCACUAGGCUUCUUUCAUAACUUACUGGCAAUGAGCUGAGGAAGCUGUGAGUCUGGGAGUUAUUGAUUUUCUCUCAUCAUCAAAAUUCCUGCUUUUGGUGAGGGAACCAAUGCCAAGUAAGCACAGAACCUGUCUUCUCUCUGGACCAGAGCAGCUCAUGCCCCUUCAGAAAAACAGGCCUGGUGCAGUGGCAGAGUGAGAGCUCAGCGGCAGUGGGCAGAGAACUUCAGCAGAGUGACAUUUUGGUCAUGAAGCCCAAACGCACUGGCUCUCAACUGCAUCUCUUCUCUGGGGCCUUGGGGUCGGGGCGACUCCUCGUGCUACAGCAGCUGCAGGAAGCGCUGAGUGACAUCACCUCCCCCUAAGCCAAGAAGCCUCCACAAGGUCAGGCCUGGAGGAGCUGUCUUUAGGCAGAGAACACACAAACAAUCUACCUCUUUCCGCCCAGGGGAAUGAGCUCACAGCUCCGGGGAGCACAGCUCUACACGUGUGCCAGGUGGUGACAGGGUUAGUGUGCUAGCACUUCUGACACCCUGCAGGUGCUUCAUUCAUGGGACACCACCCAGUCUGUACCAGAUGGUGGGGUGGGAGAUGGACACCCAGCUCCAGACCUUCCCUCGCUUUAAGUUAUAAGGCCUUUGGGAGACAGACUCGCCCAUUUUCUUGGACUGGGUUGUAUGGAUGUUUGCCCAAUCAGAAUGGGAUAGAUAACUGGAGUAGGGUGGGGAUGGAGAAGAGGUUCUCGAGAGAUUACUCUACAAAUAAAAAUUCCUGGCAAUUGCCUCUCACUUCUAUCACCAACUGUUAUUCUCUGGGUCAUGGAAAUUCCCGUAUUGCUGGCCAUAUGUGGGGAUACAGUGGAAGAGUUCAAGGAAAGCUGAUUGGCUCACCGAUUGGUGAGCAGAGCUAUAUAGAAUGGAAAAGAAGCCCCCACAAUGAGUUGGACAACCUGACCCUAACCUGGGCUCCCCUAUUCUCUACCCUGCUUUUACCAAAGUCAAGAGGCAAAGAGUUCAAAUCCACCCAUAUUUUAGUUCCACGAUAAAUGAGCUCUUGUUGAUGUACAACUCCUAAUACAAUUGGCCUGACCGUACCCUGCUUUCUCAUCACAGAUGGGAAAUGGGCAUGAAUCAAACCAAUGUAUGUCUUUGAAUGCUUCAGAAGAAAAGGUUCCAGUUGGAUGCCCAUGUUUCAAUUCCCUGUAAUUUCCUUAUUUGAAUCUGUUGAGGGCUCAGAAUUUCUGUGUCAAGAGGUGUGCGUUUAUCUGCCUGACGAGAUGAGGUCUCAGGGACCCCCACGUAAGUACCAUAGAAAGACGUACCCUAAAAGGAAGAAUUCCCUUCAAACCUUGAAUACCAGCUAAUCUAAUGACUGAGGCUGGCUGAGGUGGCUUGCUAAGGAAACGAGACGAGGAAGAUGGAAGGGGAGAGAAACAAGGUCAAGUGGAAAGAGGGAGGAAGGAAGAAAGCGAAGGAGGGAGGCAAGGAGAAAAUUGAGCAUGUCAGGGGCCCACUGGGUUUUAUAAAUAAGUCAUGGAAAUAAUGAAACCUCGUUGUUCUGAAAGUGAAAGAGAAUGAAAAAGUCUCCACUGCGCCCCGCUGAUUCGUGCCCUGGUCCAACCAACCUCAAAACUGAGGAGAAGGGGCUGCCAUCUGGGCUUCAGCCUGCAGUCCCGAGGGUCUGUGGGUCAGGGCUGCACCCCAAGUGUGGCUGCUCUGAGGGGCCCCUGGAGGACCCACUGUGUGAGUUCAAAUCACUCCUGCUGCUAGUCAGGAAUGGCCCUCAGGAAGCUGCUUCACUCCGAGGUCAUUCUCUUCAGAAUUUGAUGAGCAAUCCUCAGAAGAAUGGAGGGGGACCAAAGGUUUGAAUCCUGACUCCAAAGGCAAUAUGUUGGCAAGUUUGUUUUUCCUUGGGGCUUAGCAUGUCCUUCAGGAAACUGGGGAGGACAGUGACCUUCUAGGGAAGGUGUCCUGCAAGUGAGGGCCCCAGUCCCUUCAUGGCACACAGAUGCCUGUGCCAGGGCAAAGGAAGAUGCCUGGACCUGAACAAAACAGCUGUCUACCUGCUGUCAACAGCCGGCUCAUGGCAGAACCAGGAAGGGCCGGGGGAGAAUCUGAACACCUCAGCCACAGCCUCAGCGUUCCCCGGGCCAGCACCACCUUCAUCUGUCAGUACCCACCACACUCCGCCCUUGACCCGCUCAUCCGUGAGGCAGCUGUCCCUAAGCAAGUUCAGUCCACGGCUUGCUUUCAUGAAGGCUUCAAGGCUUUCUGUAUACUUUUCUCACCCCUAAGCAGAACAAAACAGCUCCCUUCCUGAGAAUUCAUUCAGCUGCUGACUUGAGAGGUGGCUUAAGCAGCUAUUGUUUCGUUGGAGUGAGUAGGCCAUGGGCUCUGUCGUCUGGUGGCCAGGAUUCAAAUUCCAGCUCUGCAUUGACUCGCUGGUGACCUUGGGAAAGUAACUUAACCUCUCUGAGACUCAGCCUCCCCAUGUUUGAAGUAAUGAUAACAACAACAGUGUUGUUAUGAGGAUUAAACUGUAUCAUCUCUUGGAGAGAAGAAUCUGUUUUAUCCGACGAUGUUUAGCCCACAGUAAGCACUGAGUAAAUAUUUGUUGAAUACAUGCAAAAUGCUUUGCACAGUGUUUAGCACACAGGAGGUUGCAAUAAGUGGAUAGUAUUAUCUUCCUUAUCAUUAUUCUCUGCCUCUCCUCACAUGGAGGAGCUUAUUUUGGCCAUUAUAUCAGGGUACUGGCAGGAAACAGAUGGUACAUUCCACUUGAGGAGAGCUUCACGAAGGAGCUGUUUGCAGAGGUGGGAGCAGGAUUAAGCAAACCAGUGGGGAAUGGUUAAACACUUCAGAACCAGCAGCAACAGAAAGUGCCACCUCCCCUAGACCUGAGAGGUCAAGCAGGGAAGCUGCUACCAGAACCCUGAAAGAGAUCCAUAACCCAGAGGGCAGCUCCAGAGUAGCUCAGUCCUUCAGUGGAGGAGUGGAGCACGGACAGAGACGGGAGAAUGAAAACCCUGCCCAUUCUCUCCUCCCACCCUCUGAUCUCCUGCCAAUGCCUCCCAUCGCCAAACCCAAUGCUCCCUGAUGAGGUCCACGCGGGUCAGCUUCCACAGACCAGAGGGGAGAGGGUGGGGCUGGAUCUGGUGGAAAAUCCAGGACAGUUAUGAAGUCUCCAAAGGGUGUAUGUUCAUAGCCAUCUUUCCUAAUCUACAAAGGUUCUUCAGCAGAUUUAUAUCAUAACAAACGAGAUGUUCUCAAAGAAACUGAGACCAAUAGUAGAGUUUGAAAUUUCACCUUGUAUUUCUUCCUGUUGGAGGAGUCUAAACAUCUGGGGCCCAGCUGUCCUGUGGAGUUGAUUCCACAGCUGUAUCAUGCCUUUCCUGCCCUUCCUCAUACUAUGCAUUUCUACAUGUAAAAUCUAGCAAUGGAUACAUGCACUUGCUUUGAAAAAAGUGAAAAGUGAAUCCAGGCAUGGAUAACCUACAGGUACAUUUUUUUUAAUGUUUGCAAUACUUGGGUAAUUUUUUUAAAGAAAAAUUAACUCCGUUAACGUAUGUAAUAUUUUUAAUCUACCCACAUUUGCAUAUCAACUUGGGACUGCAUAUUCUAUGUAUAACAAGACGUAAAGAAAUCCUAAACUUGAAGAACUAAAUUCGUUCACUUUUAAAGCGCAGGUAUACUGUGGCAGGAGACACACUGUGUGAGCAAUCAGAAGCCAGCUCUGCAGAGACCACCAGUCUCCGAAGGCCAGCAGUGUUGACUAUCCCAAUACUGAACAGCUAGCUAGGUUACGUCCCGCCAGCGGGCAUCCAACCCCACUCCCCAAGAGCCGCCAGGAGGCCCAAGGCCUUCACUUCACAGUGCUGAGAUCUGAACACACACUAGCCCUCUGCAGGUCGUCUUCAUCUGGUUAAGUAUAUGCAAAGAUGCAGACAAUAAGACACAACCACAUUCAAAUGAAGGCAUCACCACAGUGAGGCUUGGCGAGUUCACAGACCCUGCCCCAACCCGGCUCCCAUUUAGAGAUGAAUGGUGGCAAUGAAGGUAAUGAGAGCCAAGGAUUAUGCAGUGUUUAUUUCGUUCCGGAGACUACACUGAGCCCUUCACACAGGCUAUCUCAAUCCUGCAAAUAAGCAUGUGUUGUAGAUUUGAUUUUAUAGAUGUGGGAAACGAAGCCAAGGGAUAUUAAGUUACUUGCCCAAGAUAACAACGCUGGUGAGUGGAAGAACUGGUAUUGGAAUUUAAGCAAUCUAACUCCAGACUGUAUUUUUAACCGUUGGGCAAUUCUGCCUCUGAUUAUAUCCCUUAAAUAUUCACAGAGGGGAAAAAAAUGCAAAACAUGCACUUUUCAAGUUAAGAGCCACUUUCUUCAGAGAGUGAGAUAAUGAGUGAACUUUUUCCUUUACUUUCUACUUUUUUGCUGUUUCCUGAUUCUACUUAGGAAUCAUAUUAAUUUCAAGGGCCGGCCCCAUGGCCGAGUGGUUAAGUUCGCGUGCUCUGCUUCAGUGACCCAGGGUUUCAUGGGUUAGGAUCCUGGGCGUGGACACCUGAGGUGGUAUCUCACAUGGCACGCCCAGAAGGACCUGCAACUAGAAUAUACAAGUAUGUAUUGCGGGGCUUUGCAAAAAGAAGAAGAAGGUGGGCAACAGAUGCUAGCUCAAGUGCCACUCUUUAAAAUAUAUAUUAAUUUCAUAAUGAAAAAUAUAAACUUUAUGACAAAAGCCAUUGUAGAGGUCUGGCUGUAUCAGGAAAGGACGAUUUCCUGUGGUCCAUUCCUCCCUCAGGUUAUUACCACAAACCCUGUGCAGAAUUGAGGCCAAGAAGUGACCCCCACAUGUAUAGUCAACUGGUUUUCAACAAAAGUUCCAAGGCAGCUCAAUAAGAGAAGAACUGCCUUUCCAACAAAUAGAACUGGAUCAACUGGAUAUCCACAGGAGGGAAAAAAAUGAAGAUUGACCUUUAGCUCCAUUUAAAAAAAGGUUUUGGAUCAAUGCUACUUCAUCACAAUUAAAAACUUCUAUUCUUUGAAAAACGCCAUUAAGAAAACAUAUAGGCAAGCGACUAGGUGGGAGAAAGUACUCAAAGCACUUGUACCCAAAAUGUAUAAAAGACUCCUACAACUCAAUAAGAAGAAGAAAGCCUAUUUUCUUUAGUGGGCAAAAAAAUUGAACAUGCACUUCAAAAAAGAGAAAAUAUGAAGGGCCAAAAGCACAUAAAAAGAUGGUCAACAUCAUUCAUUAGUUAUUGGGGAAUUGUGCACUAAAAGCACAAUGAAAUGUCACUACAUCCACUAGAAUGGCUUAAAUGAAAAAGAUUGAGCAUACCAAGUACUGGUGAGGGUAGAGAGUAACUGGAACUCUCAUAAACUACUGGUGGAAAUAAAAAAAUGAUACAGUAUUUUUUAGAAAACAGUUUGGUAGUUUCUUCAAAGGUUAAACAUAAACUCAGCAUACAACCCAGCCAUUCCGUACCUAGGUAUUUACCCAAAAUAAAUGAAAACACAUGUGCACACGAAGACUUGCACACGAAUGUAAAUGGCAGCUUUAUGUGUAAUAGCUAAAAACUGGAAACAACCCAAAUGCCCAUCAACAGGUGAAUAG